UAAGGAAUAUUGGUCAAUGGACGCAAGUCUGAACCAGCCAUGCCGCGUGAAGGAUGAAGGUCCUCUGGAUUGUAAACUUCUUUUAUCUGGGACGAAAACGGGAUUUUUAUCUCAAUUGACGGUACCAGAGGAAUAAGCACCGGCUAACUCCGUGCCAGCAGCCGCGGUAAUACGGAGGGUGCGAGCGUUAUCCGGAUUUACUGGGUUUAAAGGGUGCGUAGGUGGGCUUAUAAGUCAGUGGUGAAAUCUCCGAGCUUAACUUGGAAACUGCCGUUGAUACUAUAGGUCUUGAAUUAUCUGGGGGUGAGCGGAAUAUGUCAUGUAGCGGUGAAAUGCUUAGAUAUGACAUAGAACACCAAUUGCGAAGGCAGCUUACUACAUAUAAAUUGACGCUGAGGCACGAAAGCGUGGGGAUCAAACA
RNAcentral lists this ribosomal RNA (421 nucleotides) under uncultured bacterium. Its description in RNAcentral is "bacterial SSU rRNA". It matches the Rfam family "Bacterial small subunit ribosomal RNA", at positions 355 to 774 of the family's 1533-position model. The record is from RNAcentral.